AACGAACGCUGGCGGCAGGCCUAACACAUGCAAGUCGAGCGGACCCUUCGGGGUUAGCGGCGGACGGGUGAGUAACGCGUGGGAAUAUGCCCUUCUCUACGGAAUAGUCCUGGGAAACUGGGGGUAAUACCGUAUACGCCCUUUGGGGGAAAGAUUUAUCGGGGAAGGAUUAGCCCGCGUUGGAUUAGGUAGUUGGUGGGGUAAUGGCCUACCAAGCCGACGAUCCAUAGCUGGUUUGAGAGGAUGAUCAGCCACACUGGGACUGAGACACGGCCCAGACUCCUACGGGAGGCAGCAGUGGGGAAUCUUAGACAAUGGGGGCAACCCUGAUCUAGCCAUGCCGCGUGAGUGAUGAAGGCCUUAGGGUUGUAAAGCUCUUUCAGCUGGGAAGAUAAUGACGGUACCAGCAGAAGAAGCCCCGGCUAACUUCGUG
This 433-nucleotide ribosomal RNA is filed under the name uncultured bacterium. RNAcentral describes it as "partial 16S ribosomal RNA". It matches the Rfam family "Bacterial small subunit ribosomal RNA", at positions 29 to 507 of the family's 1533-position model. The record is from RNAcentral.